Molecule: long non-coding RNA, 182 nt
Organism: Penaeus monodon (black tiger shrimp)
Lineage: Eukaryota; Metazoa; Arthropoda; Malacostraca; Decapoda; Penaeidae
Exons: 2
Source: RefSeq, a predicted model, not a curated record
UCUUGCAUGAGCAGGAGGGUGGCGUGCCUUGUGCCGUUGUACCACUGCUGGCUGCUUGCAUGCUUGCAGUAUCAUGAUGAUGGCCUUUUUGGUGCCUGCAGUCUAACCGGACUUGUCCUAUUUGCCGUGGAGAUGCCAGCGAAUUUCUUAAAGAGGCCACCAGUGCUGAGUGAAGCAGGAUG